GAUGAAGAACGUAGCGAAAUGCGAUACUUGGUGUGAAUUGCAGAAUCCCGUGAACCAUCGAGUCUUUGAACGCAAGUUGCGCCCGAAGCCAUUAGGCCGAGGGCACGCCUGCCUGGGUGUCACACACCGUUACCCUCGCGCCAACGUCCAUCGUUGGCCGCGGCGCGGGGCGUGCGCUGACCUCCCGAGAGCGGGGUCUCGUGGUUGGUUGAAAAUCGAGUUCGCGGUCGAGGGUGCCGUGAUGAAAUGGUGGAUGGGCGACGCCCGAGGCCAAUCACGCGCGACUCUGUCCGGGUCGGACUCCUGGACCCCUUCGGCGUCUCCGGACGCUCUUUGGCGAGACCUCAGGUCAGGCGGGGCUACCCGCUGAGUUUAAGCAUAUCAAUAAGCGGAGGA
Molecule: unclassified non-coding RNA, 396 nt
Filed under: soil metagenome
Description: partial contains 5.8S ribosomal RNA, internal transcribed spacer 2, and large subunit ribosomal RNA
Rfam family: 5.8S ribosomal RNA (bases 1-122)
Source: RNAcentral